This 492-nucleotide ribosomal RNA is filed under the name uncultured bacterium. RNAcentral describes it as "partial 16S ribosomal RNA". It matches the Rfam family "Bacterial small subunit ribosomal RNA", at positions 29 to 507 of the family's 1533-position model. The record is from RNAcentral.
AGUGAACGCUGGCGGUAGGCCUAACACAUGCAAGUCGAACGGCAGCACAGUAAGAGCUUGCUCUUACGGGUGGCGAGUGGCGGACGGGUGAGGAAUACAUCGGAAUCUACUUUUUCGUGGGGGAUAACGUAGGGAAACUUACGCUAAUACCGCAUACGACCUACGGGUGAAAGCAGGGGAUCUUCGGACCUUGCGCGAUUGAAUGAGCCGAUGUCGGAUUAGCUAGUUGGCGGGGUAAAGGCCCACCAAGGCGACGAUCCGUAGCUGGUCUGAGAGGAUGAUCGGCCACACUGGAACUGAGACACGGUCCAGACGCCUACGGGAGGCAGCAGUGGGGAAUAUUGGACAAUGGGCGCAAGCCUGAUCCAGCCAUACCGCGUCGGUGAAGAAGGCCUUCGGGUUGUAAAGCCCUUUUGUUGGGAAAGAAAAGCAGCAGGUUAAUACCCCGCUGUUCUGACGGUACCCAAAGAAUAAGCACCGGCUAACUUCGUG